GAUGAACGCUGACCGAAUGCUUAACACAUGCAAGUCGAUGGGGAAGUGGUGCUUGCACCAUCGCAACCAUGGCGGACGGGUGAGUAACGCGUAAGGGACUUACCUGCAGGACUGGGAUAACAGGGGGAAACUCCUGACAAGACCGGAUAAUGUCAUGGAGCUGCAUGGCUUUAUGAUGAAAGGAGACGCCUGCGGAGAGCCUUGCGUCCUAUUAGCUAGUUGGUGAGGUAAUGGCUCACCAAGGCGAAGAUAGGUAGCCGGCCUGAGAGGGUGGACGGCCACAAGGGGACUGAGAUACGGCCCUUACUCCUACGGGAGGCAGCAGUGGGGAAUAUUGGACAAUGGGGGCAACCCUGAUCCAGCAAUGCGGUGUGCACGAAGAAGGUUUUCGGAUUGUAAAGUGCUUUCAGCAGGGAAGAAGUAAGUGACGGUACCUGCAGAAGAAGCGACGGCUAAAUACGU
RNAcentral lists this ribosomal RNA (462 nucleotides) under uncultured bacterium. Its description in RNAcentral is "partial 16S ribosomal RNA". It matches the Rfam family "Bacterial small subunit ribosomal RNA", at positions 28 to 506 of the family's 1533-position model. The record is from RNAcentral.